Molecule: ribosomal RNA, 254 nt
Filed under: uncultured bacterium
Lineage: Bacteria
Description: partial 16S ribosomal RNA
Rfam family: Bacterial small subunit ribosomal RNA
Source: RNAcentral
UACAUGGGGUGCAAACGUUUGCUCGGAAUCAUUGGGCGUAAAGCGCGCGUAGGCGGUUACUUAAGUUGGAUGUGAAAGCCCUCGGCUUAACUGAGGAAGUGCAUCCAAAACUGAGUAGCUAGAGUACGAAAGAGGGUCGCGGAAUUCCCGGUGUAGAGGUGAAAUUCGUAGAUAUCGGGAGGAACACCAGUGGCGAAGGCGGCGACCUGGGCCAAUACUGACGCUGAGGUGCGAAAGCGUGGGGAGCAAACAGG